GGCACAGCGUACGCGCUCCAAAAUGGCGGCCACCGGUGCCGCUGGGACGGUGGCGAAUGUCUUCCCGUUCCGCGAUGCCCGCGCCGCGCCAGACCCAGUGCUGGAGGCCGGCCCGGGGGCACACGGGCCACUGCCGGUGCCACUCGUGCUGGACAACGGGUCGUUCCAGGCCCGCGCCGGCUGGGCAUGCCCCGGGCCGGACCCGGGCCCCGAGCCGCGCCUGCAGUUCCGCGCCGUGUGCGCCCGCGGGCGUGGCGGGGCUCGGGGCGGGGCGGGCCCGCAGGUGGGAAACGCGCUGGGCAGCCUGGAGCCGCUGCGCUGGAUGCUGCGCUCACCCUUCGACCGCAACGUACCGGUCAACCUGGAGCUGCAGGAGCUGCUGCUGGACUACAGCUUCCAGCACCUGGGUGUCUCCUCACAGGGCUGUGUCGAUCAUCCCAUAGUUUUGACAGAAGCUGUGUGCAACCCACUGUAUUCUCGGCAAAUGAUGUCUGAGCUUCUUUUUGAGUGCUAUGGGAUUCCUAAGGUUGCCUAUGGAAUAGACAGCCUUUUCAGCUUCUACCACAAUAAGCCAAAGAACUUGAUUUCCAGUGGGCUCAUCAUUUCCUCUGGAUACCAGUGUACACAUAUUUUACCCAUCUUAGAAGGGAGGUUAGAUGCUAAAAACUGCAAACGCAUCAAUCUGGGAGGAAGCCAAGCAGCUGGCUACCUCCAGCGCCUCCUGCAGCUGAAGUAUCCUGGGCACCUGGCAGCCAUCACUCUCAGCCGCAUGGAGGAGAUCCUGCACGAGCACAGCUAUGUUGCUGAAGAUUAUGUGGAAGAACUGCAGAAAUGGCAGUGCCCUGAUUAUUACGAAAACAACGUCCACAAGAUGCAGCUCCCGUUUUCCAGCAAGCUCCUCGGCAGCACUCUGAGCUCAGAGGAGAAGCAGGAACGGCGGCAGCAGCAGCUGCGACGGCUGCAGGAGCUCAACGCCCGCCGGCGGGAGGAGAAGCUGCAGCUGGACCAGGAGCGUCUGGACAGACUGCUCUACGUGCAGGAACUUCUAGAGGAUGGCCAGAUGGAUCAGUUUCACAAAGCUCUGGUGGAACUGAACAUGGACUCCCCGGAAGAGCUGCAGUCCUACAUCCAGAAGCUCAGCUCAGCGGUGGAGCAGGCAAAGCAGAAAAUCCUCCACGCAGAAGUCACCCUCGAGGUGGAUGUGGUGGACAGCAAGCCAGAGGUGUCUGGGCCACUCUGUAGGAUACAACUCUUGCUCUCUCUCCUGCAGAGUUGCAUGUGCGGUCUCGUGCCUAACGCAGACAGCAUGACCCCCCCGCCCCCCGCUCCGGGCCCGCCGGAGGGCUUCAGAGAGGAGAUGGGAGUUGUUGAGACCCCUGACCUGGAGCAGCUAGAGCCGUCUCUGGAAGAUGUGGAAAGCAUCCAUGAUUUUGAACCCUUGUUUUCAGAGGAAACCCCUGAAGCGGAGAAGCCAGUCACCACUGUCCAGCCCGUGUUUAACUUGGCAGCCUAUCAUCAGCUGUUUGUCGGGACAGAAAGAAUUCGAGCUCCAGAAAUUAUCUUCCAGCCAUCCCUCAUAGGGGAGGAGCAGGCUGGGAUAGCAGAGACCCUUCAGUACAUCCUGGACAGGUACUCAAAGGACAUUCAGGACCUGCUGGUUCAGAAUGUUUUCCUCACCGGUGGAAACAUGAUGUACCCUGGGAUGAAAGGUAGAAUCGAGAAGGAGCUGUUGGAGAUGAGGCCCUUCCAGUCUGCUUUUAAGGUUCAGCUUGCUUCCAACCCCGUGCUGGACGCCUGGUAUGGUGCUCGGGACUGGGCCUUGGACCACCUGGACGAUGAUGAAGUCUGGAUCACCAGGAAAGAGUAUGAAGAGAAAGGAGGAGAGUACCUCAAGGAGCACUGUGCAUCCAACAUCUACGUCCCCAUCCGCCUGCCCAAGCAGGCCUCACGCUUCUCAGACGCGCAGGCCCCUGGCAGAGGCUCGGGGGCCAGCGGAGGCAGUGCUGGGAGCCUCUAGCCCAUCCCUCUCAUGAGGCCGCCUCAGAACCCGUUGGCUCUGGGGCGAUCGCCUGGAUCCGCAGCCCUCAGGGCUCAGGAACUCAAGAUCUGGAGCAGACAGCGGUGAUGGUGGAGACAGAAGAAGACUUGGGCCGACCCAGGGCCUCCCAGAGCCCGAGGACUGAGGAGAUGGUGAUAAGCAUGAGCUGUGAAGAAAGGAUAGUUGCCAAGAAGGCUCUUUGCAGUUGGAAUUAAGGACCUGGACAUGAGAUCAGCCUGGAUUUAGGGUGGGCCCUCAAGCCAGUGACUGAUGUCCUUAUAAAAGAAAUGACACUGGGAAGAAGGCCAUGUGAAGACAGAGGCAGAGACUGGAGGAGGGCAGCCACAAGCCAGGAACACUAGGAGCCACCAGAAGCUGGAAGAGGCCAGGAAGGAUUCUCCCCUAGAGCCGUCAUAGCGAAUAUGGCCUGAUGACACCUUGAUUUGGUAUCCAGAACUGUGAGAGAAUAAAUUUCUGUUGCGUUAGGUACCAUGUUUGUGGUCAUUUGUUACAGACACCGAUGUCCAGGUUAAAUCUGGGAAGGUUUCUGGGUAUGGUUGGGAAGCUUUUAAGCCAUAAAGAAGCAGAUAACUUGCCCACAAGAUGGAGGAGUCCUAGCAAAUAGCAGGACCUAGAUAACAAAGGCCUAUCCCCAGAUAAGGAGUAGAGAGGAGGGGUUUGGAAAGUGCGCAGGACCAGAGCUGAGGGUCCUGGAGAGGCGCCCCUUCUGGGGAUGAGGGAGGCCCCCAGAUUGUCCGAGGUGGUAUAGGGGGAAGCGUGGAAGGGGCUGGCACCUGGAGACUUAUUACAGCAACAGAGGAUCAGAGGAAGCUUGACACGCAAAGGUGCUUAAUACUGGAGAAUCUGCCUUGCUGCAGCACCAGGAGGGGGCGCCCCUGAGAGACGUGGAGACCCACCGAACCCCUCUCCCUGCCCUGUUCCUCACCCAUAUCCUCCUGCUAAUAGUUGCUCAGGUAAAUCUAACAUGCCCAAAUAUGAACAUUAAUAAACCAGCUCCCUAAUGGGGAUACUGCAAGAAAAAAACAAAACCAGAAAAUUCAAAGUCGAACUUGUGAGCAGAAAACACACGGGGAAAAAAAGCCAGAAGGAAAUUGUAAUGCAGCAUUCCAACAGGAAUUAAAAUAAUUAGACAAGCAAAUGCAGCUGUGAGGACAUCGCGAAACAAAUGAAAAGCUUUAAGUAGAAAGGACCAAGAGGACGUGAAAUGGAAACUGACGGGACCCAGGUACGAACUGAAUGUAAAAGAAAAAUCUCGGAAACCUAAAUCCAAGAUGCACAAAGGAGAUAUAUUCGACUGGAAAGAAAAAAAGGAAAAACCAAAUGAAAAUAAGAGAAAGUUACAGAUAAGGAAAAGAGGCAAAGGAAAUCUAAUCAAGUUGAAUGUAGUUGAAGAAAAUUCGACAUACUGAAUUUUAUAUUGUAAAGGAAGAAGAAAGACAAUGGAACAAAAAUUCAUAUUAAAAAUGGUAAUUCGGUAAUACUUUCCCCCAAAGAGGAAAUGCUCGAAUACAAGUACUGUAAAGACACGCUUUGUGUGAGCUUGGGAAGAAGGAUUCAGAAGAGUAAACUCUGAGAAAAUCCUAGGUAAAUAAAUCCUCUGGGCCUCUAGGCAGGAAGACACAAUGGCUUGCACUGUCAAGAAAAAUUAGAUGUCAUCGGACUUUCUAACAGCACUCUGUGUAAUUUAAUACUACUAAGUUGACCAAAGAAAUUGAAUAAUGAAAAAACAAAAAUGGUAAAAUAAGUUUAUGUGGGAAAAAAAACAAAACAAAAUUUAAGGAAUACUAGAAAACCUGCUAGAAAAAGACCAACAACAAUUUAAAACUACUAGAAAGAAUACACGAAAUAAUAAGGAAAUAAUUAUUAAAAUAAAAAUCAUAAUUACUUUGUACAAUUCUUUGCAAAUACAUUUGAAAAAUAUGGACAAAAAUCGUCAUUUUUUUAGGAAAAUGGAAUUCACCAGAACUGCCCCUAAUAGGGAUAUAUAAGGUCCAAAUAGACCCAUUUCCAUACAGAAACUAAAGACCAUUGUCACAGAGC
This is an RNA transcript of Mirounga angustirostris (Northern elephant seal), 4099 nucleotides long. It is a transcript of the gene named actin related protein 5, with no coding region annotated. The record is from RefSeq and is a predicted model, not a curated record. The transcript is spliced from 12 exons. Lineage: Eukaryota; Metazoa; Chordata; Mammalia; Carnivora; Phocidae.